AUUCCAUAGCAUCCAUAUAUACAUAUAGUUCCAUAGCAUCCAUACAUACAUAGCUCCAUAGAAAAUAUAAUACACAACGAUGCUUUGCGGGCAUUAGUAAGUAAUAUUUGGCACUAAAUCAAAUGCCUUCAUGUCCAGAUCGUAGUUCAAAGAGCAUCCGCGUGGCAACCUACAAGAUGAAAUCAUCAACAUGUCAAAUUUAACACUCUA
RNAcentral lists this long non-coding RNA (210 nucleotides) under Hordeum vulgare. Its description in RNAcentral is "long non-coding RNA (HVUL_LNC014510)". Lineage: Eukaryota; Viridiplantae; Streptophyta; Magnoliopsida; Poales; Poaceae. The record is from RNAcentral.